GACGAACGCUGGCGGCGUGCUUAACACAUGCAAGUCGAACGGAAAGGCCUCUUCGGAGGUACUCGAGUGGCGAACGGGUGAGUAACACGUGGGCAAUCUGCCCUGCACUUCGGGAUAAGCCUGGGAAACUGGGUCUAAUACCGAAUAGGACCUUUAGACGCAUGUCUUUUGGUGGAAAGCUUUUGCGGUGUGGGAUGGGCCCGCGGCCUAUCAGCUUGUUGGUGGGGUGAUGGCCUACCAAGGCGACGACGGGUAGCCGGCCUGAGAGGGUGUCCGGCCACACUGGGACUGAGAUACGGCCCAGACUCCUACGGGAGGCAGCAGUGGGGAAUAUUGCACAAUGGGCGCAAGCCUGAUGCAGCGACGCCGCGUGGGGGAUGACGGCCUUCGGGUUGUAAACCUCUUUCACCAUCGACGAAGGUCCGGGUUUUCUCGGAUUGACGGUAGGUGGAGAAGAAGCACCGGCCAACUACG
RNAcentral lists this ribosomal RNA (474 nucleotides) under Mycobacterium intracellulare. Its description in RNAcentral is "bacterial SSU rRNA". It matches the Rfam family "Bacterial small subunit ribosomal RNA", at positions 28 to 505 of the family's 1533-position model. The record is from RNAcentral. Lineage: Bacteria; Bacillati; Actinomycetota; Actinomycetes; Mycobacteriales; Mycobacteriaceae.